CUCUUUUGAACAAUUAUAAACCAACUUAUCGACGCAAAUAUACUACGCAAAUGUUGUUUUGGACGAAGGAUUCAAGUUAAUCGCAAACACGUAUUUGUGUCGGGAACACAAAUGUUUCUGUGAGCAGCCCGAGAAGGGCGGUGUGAGGUUGUGCCCGCGAAGGACGGCGAAGACGGGAAGCCUGAGUAGGGCGGUAUUUUUCACGGGUCUUGAACGAGCGCUUCGACGUUGCAGCCACUGGUAAUGCUAACGCGCAUCAUCGAUGAGUAUGGGACGGGCGACGCCCGAGGUGGAUCACGACGGGUUUGAACGGGUCUGCGUGAGGUCCAGUUCAAGUCGCCACCAGCGAG
RNAcentral lists this unclassified non-coding RNA (350 nucleotides) under Melitaea cinxia (Glanville fritillary). RNAcentral's name for it is "misc RNA ENSMCXG00005005123.1". Lineage: Eukaryota; Metazoa; Arthropoda; Insecta; Lepidoptera; Nymphalidae. The record is from RNAcentral.